UACGGGGGGGGCAAGCGUUGUUCGGAAUUACUGGGCGUAAAGGGCUCGUAGGCGGCCAACUAAGUCAGACGUGAAAUCCCUCAGCUUAACUGGGGAACUGCGUCUGAUACUGCGUGGCUUGAGUGCAGGAGAGGAACGCGGAAUUCCAGGUGUAGCGGUGAAAUGCGUAGAUAUCUGGAGGAACACCGGUGGCGAAGGCGGCGUUCUGGACCAAUAUUGACGCUGAGGAGCGAAAGCCAGGGGAGCAAACGGG
RNAcentral lists this ribosomal RNA (253 nucleotides) under uncultured bacterium. RNAcentral's name for it is "partial 16S ribosomal RNA". It matches the Rfam family "Bacterial small subunit ribosomal RNA", at positions 524 to 776 of the family's 1533-position model. The record is from RNAcentral.